RNAcentral lists this ribosomal RNA (376 nucleotides) under uncultured bacterium. RNAcentral describes it as "bacterial SSU rRNA". It matches the Rfam family "Bacterial small subunit ribosomal RNA", at positions 524 to 898 of the family's 1533-position model. The record is from RNAcentral.
AACGUAGGGGCCAAGCGUUAUCCGGAAUUACUGGGCGUAAAGCGCGUGCAGGCGGUUCUGAAAGUCGGACGUGAAAGCUCCCGGCCCAACUGGGAGAGGCCGUUCGAAACUGUGGAACUAGAGGAUGGUAGAGGCAAGUGGAAUUCCCGGUGUAGUGGUGAAAUGCGUAGAUAUCGGGAGGAACACCAGCGGCGAAAGCGGCUUGCUGGGCCAUCACUGACGCUCAGACGCGAAAGCCAGGGGAGAGAACGGGAUUAGAAACCCCGGUAUUCCUGGCUGUAAACGAUGUCAACUAGGUGUAGGGGGUAACCAACCCCUCUGUGCUGCCGCCAACGCAAUAAGUUGACCGCCUGGGGAGUACGGCCGCAAGGCUAAA